This 497-nucleotide ribosomal RNA is filed under the name uncultured bacterium. RNAcentral describes it as "partial 16S ribosomal RNA". It matches the Rfam family "Bacterial small subunit ribosomal RNA", at positions 28 to 507 of the family's 1533-position model. The record is from RNAcentral.
GAUGAACGCUGGCGGCGUGCCUAAUACAUGCAAGUCGAGCGAACAGACGAGGAGCUUGCUCCUCUGGCGUUAGCGGCGGACGGGUGAGUAACACGUGGAUAACCUACCUAUAAGACUGGGAUAACUUCGGGAAACCGGAGCUAAUACCGGAUAAUAUAUUGAACCGCAUGGUUCAAUAGUGAAAGACGGUUUUGCUGUCACUUAUAGAUGGAUCCGCGCCGCAUUAGCUAGUUGGUAAGGUAACGGCUUACCAAGGCAACGAUGCGUAGCCGACCUGAGAGGGUGAUCGGCCACACUGGAACUGAGACACGGUCCAGACUCCUACGGGAGGCAGCAGUAGGGAAUCUUCCGCAAUGGGCGAAAGCCUGACGGAGCAACGCCGCGUGAGUGAUGAAGGUCUUCGGAUCGUAAAACUCUGUUAUUAGGGAAGAACAAAUGUGUAAGUAACUAUGCACGUCUUGACGGUACCUAAUCAGAAAGCCACGGCUAACUACGUG